AAAAAAAAAGAAAAUAAAGAAAAAAGUGAACCACUUUAGCGGUGGCUGCAUCUCUUUUUUUUUUUUU
This 67-nucleotide non-coding RNA is filed under the name uncultured eukaryote. The record is from RNAcentral.